CCCGCACAAGCGGUGGAGCAUGUGGUUUAAUUCGAAGCAACGCGAAGAACCUUACCAGGUCUUGACAUCCUCUGACAAUCCUAGAGAUAGGACGUCCCCUUCGGGGGCAGAGUGACAGGUGGUGCAUAUCGUCAGCUCGUGUCGUGAGAUGUUGGGUUAAGUCCCGCAACGAGCGCAACCCUUGAUCUUAGUUGCCAGCAUUCAGUUGGGCACUCUAAGGUGACUGCCGGUGACAAACCGGAGGAAGGUGGGGAUGACGUCAAAUCAUCAUGCCCCUUAUGACCUGGGCUACACACGUGCUACAAUGGACAGAACAAAGGGCAGCGAAACCGCGAGGUUAAG
RNAcentral lists this ribosomal RNA (342 nucleotides) under Brevibacterium sp. Its description in RNAcentral is "bacterial SSU rRNA". It matches the Rfam family "Bacterial small subunit ribosomal RNA", at positions 920 to 1267 of the family's 1533-position model. Lineage: Bacteria; Bacillati; Actinomycetota; Actinomycetes; Micrococcales; Brevibacteriaceae. The record is from RNAcentral.